UUACAAACAAACAACCAAUUAGUAUUAUUAUUAUGAGAAGGCAAACCCUCUCAACUCAAAUGUACCUAUUUCCCGUUUAGCAAGGAUCAAGUGAAAGAGAGAAAUGGAGCUCUAAUGAAAACAGAGGUUUCAGGGAUUCCAUAGGAAAGCAUUCUACAAUCUCUGAUUGAUACCAGUCUUCAAUGGCACAUCCAUUGAGUUUAACUUCUACAGGCCUCCUCAAAUAUGGCUUAAUUCCUGGAACCACGAUUUCACACAAAAAAGUUGGGACAUAUGCUUUAAGAUCAUCAGGGUUAUUAUUUAGCAUCCAAGCUGUGCAAGACAAUGACAGGCCUCGACGACUGGUUGAUUUCAUUCGUCUUGUGCCAGAGAAAUCAAGGAAUUACUUUACAAGUCCUUCAAGGAGAGCACUUUUUGGGGGAAUCGCAUUAUCGGGUGGUUUUUAUGUGGCACAGACAAUCUCUCUGUCGUUUGGAGCGUUGGGAGUCAAUGAUGUGAUUGCUGCAAUUGUGUGUGUUCUCCUUACGGAGUAUGUGACUAAGUUCUAUUAUAGCCGGCCAAAGGUGACUUUCCCCAUUGCUCUUCUAAACAAUUUCCAGAUGGGUUUCACUUAUGGUCUCUUCAUUUAUGCUUUUAAACUUGCCAGUUGAAUUAAAACCAUCCAAUCGGUUUGUUGUUCUUGGUCAACAUGCUAUCUGUGGGAUCUUUGAUCUGCCAUGGUUUCUUUUUAUUAAGAUUUGAUUUUGUCUGCGUUUUUUGCACAUGUCUAUAUUGUAGAUCCUGCCUCUCCCUUUCAGCUAUAUGCUUGUGGCAUUGUAUGGGCUGGCAUUACUAUUAUCUGAACAGUGUACUGUUGCAAUGGAAACAGAAAUCUUGUUCACAUAAAUCUUUCAUAUUUAUAUUUUUAUAUAGUUACAUACAUACAUAGAAAUCAAUUGUUGCC
Molecule: non-coding RNA, 943 nt
Organism: Camellia sinensis
Lineage: Eukaryota; Viridiplantae; Streptophyta; Magnoliopsida; Ericales; Theaceae
Source: RefSeq, a predicted model, not a curated record